This is a long non-coding RNA of Arabidopsis lyrata subsp. lyrata, 387 nucleotides long. RefSeq lists it as uncharacterized. The transcript is spliced from 3 exons. Lineage: Eukaryota; Viridiplantae; Streptophyta; Magnoliopsida; Brassicales; Brassicaceae. The record is from RefSeq and is a predicted model, not a curated record.
GAAAUUGAUUCCACCACAGGGGGCCGAUGAGAUUAAAAUCCUUCAUUCUCUCCUUUGCCGGUUUCUAUCAUCUCUUUCUCCGGUAAACAACAAACUAAACCUAAGUCUGAUCGAAAAAGCGAUCACUUGACUCAAAUUUCGUACGAAUUAUCUACCUGAACCCUAAUGGAUCAUCCAGAAGAUGAAACCCACAGCGAGAAACAAGACGACGAGGAAGCUCUUGCUCGUCUUGAAGAGAUUAAGAAGUCAGUGGAAGCUAAAAUGACUCUUCGUCAAAAUAAUCUCAAUCCUGAACGACCUGAUUCAACAUAUCUUAGGACUCUGGAUUCUAGUAUCAAGCGGAAUACAGCAGUUAUCAAGAAGUUAAAGCAGAUCAAUGAGGAGCAG